AGUAAAAUUGCCAAUAAUUUUUUCGGGCAGUGUAUGUACACACAUAGAAAAAAAGCAAGGCGGGCAUACCAAAUUGGUACAUAUUACCAAUGGAGAAAUGCUAAAGUCUUAAUAUAAAAUCAGAGAUUGCCAGAAGAAUAUAAACCUAGGAAUCAACAGAACAAGUACAUACUAAUGGGUGAGAAUGUGGAUCGCGAAAGUGAGCCAAUUCAUGAAGGAUUGCUGCAAGAGAGUAAAGAAAUCGAGUUUGCAGAGGAAACAAUACUUAAAUUAGAGGUGGAAAUUUUGACGCCUUUUUCUGAGGAAGAUAAUGGAACAGAUAAUAUACUGAAUGAGUUUGAAAUAAAUAAAACGUUGUAUAAUGCGAAAAAGAAAGAUUGUCAAAUGGUGGAAACGACAAAUUCUGUCACGCGGAGAUUUUUUCAGUUACGUAGUACUGAUCCGUUCAUUAUAUUGGGAUUUAUUGAUAUUGUUCGCCGACAUCCUUGCCAUUGGAAUUCGCUGGACUACGACUUUGGACACAAAGACAAAAGGGAUGAAAGCUCGAAGAUCAUUUGUAGAGAACUGAGGGACCUGUAUAACAUAUGCAUAUCUCCACAAUUAGCCCGAUCAAGCAUACUUUCUCUGAUUCGGUGGUUUGAACGUGAAUAUCUCCGUUCGGUGCAGCUGAGUAAGACAAAUACUUCUAAAAGAGGUCGUUGGAGCCGUAAUGGAUAUGUAUGUGCGCAUCCCGAAUAUUUUAACAAAUUACUGGAAUUUGUUCCAAACAAUCAUUUACAACUUCUCUGCUGUGAUAAAUGUCAGCGGAUGUUCAAGACGCAAACUCAAUUUUUGAUACAUUAUCACCAUGCUCAUGGAGGCGAUGCACCAUUCAAGUGCCAUCAUUGUAGUCGUUCAUUUUUGUAUUCUUCUACUUGGAAACGUCACGAAAAUAGGCAUACUAUGAGAUAUAUAUGGAGUUGUCUAUUAUGCCGGCACAUUAGCUCUACAAAAACAGAUUAUAACUUACAUAUGGUGGCACAUACCGACGUUCGUGCAUACGUUUGUGAUCUGUGCGGAGCGUCUUAUAAGAGUAGCACAAGUUUAAAUGUCCAUUUGCGAACGCAUGAGCCACCAAGAUUACAAUGUAAUAUAUGUUUUAAGAAAUUUUACGAAAAUUAUCGCCUUAAACGACAUUUGUUGAUUCAUGAAGCUGAAGCUUCCGUAAAAGCGAAUAUGAAGGGUUAGCCUAAAUUUCUUCUAAAACCUAUUGUUUUAUGGUCAGAAGCAAAAAUCUCGAGACAAAUUUUACCAAAACGUUUUUUAAUGAGCCUUGAUGAAUAUAUCUAUAGGGCAAGGUGUGGCGCCUACCAGUUUCAGUAACACUAGCAAGUAUACACCGCGAAUGGAACAUUAUACUAAAGCCGGACAUGGGAGAUUAUUGCUUUUGAGAAUAAAAUAUUAGUCAAAUAUGUAGAUAGAAGAUCAUUUCGUCGCUGGAAUAAAGAAACAGUGUAAAUGCCAUAUACACUAUUAUUCGAUAAUCGUACCAUUAAUCUAUUAGAAAAAUCUUUAGCUUUUUUAAAUAUCUUUUUGGAUCACGAACUUAUUCGUGAAAAACGUUAUUUUAUAAUAACAGUGUAGGUACUACAAUUGUUUACAAAUAGUGUAUAGGGCACUUGGACUAUUGUUAAGAAGA
RNAcentral lists this unclassified non-coding RNA (1678 nucleotides) under Rhagoletis pomonella (apple maggot). RNAcentral describes it as "zinc finger imprinted 3-like, transcript variant X1". Lineage: Eukaryota; Metazoa; Arthropoda; Insecta; Diptera; Tephritidae. The record is from RNAcentral.